GAUGAAGAACGUAGCGAAAUGCGAUACUUGGUGUGAAUUGCAGAAUCCCGUGAACCAUCGAGUCUUUGAACGCAAGUUGCGCCCGAAGCCAUUAGGCCGAGGGCACGCCUGCCUGGGCGUCACACGUCGUUGCCCCCCCAUCUACUCCUUCGGGAUUGCGGGGGGCGGAUGAUGGCCUCCCGUGCGCCUCGUCGAGCGGUUGGCAUAAAUGCCAAGUCCUCGGCGACGCACGCCACGACAAUCGGUGGUUGCGAAACCUCGGUUGCCCGUCGUGUGCGGUCGUCGCGCAUCGAGGGCUCGAAAAAAUUGCCGGGCUCCGGCUCGGCUUUCAACGCGACCCCAGGUCAGGCGGGGUUACCCGCUGAAUUUAAGCAUAUCAAUAAGCGGAGGA
This 391-nucleotide unclassified non-coding RNA is filed under the name soil metagenome. Its description in RNAcentral is "partial contains 5.8S ribosomal RNA, internal transcribed spacer 2, and large subunit ribosomal RNA". The stretch from base 1 to 122 matches the Rfam family "5.8S ribosomal RNA", at positions 35 to 154 of the family's 154-position model. The record is from RNAcentral.